UGUCCCUCAGACCGUUGGAGGGCCGGACUAUAGUUAAAAACAAACAAACAAACAAAAAACUAUGAACAAAUUCCUGUGCACACUGCACAUAUCUUAUUUUGAAGUAAAAAACAAAACGGGAACAAAUACAAUUCACACCACUUCAUGUGGCCCGCAGGCCGCAGUUUGAGGACACCUGAACUAAACCAUGCCCAUUCCCUUGCAGGGGUCGGGGGCUGCUGCAGCGGGCUUUAGCAAGAAGGUACGGGAGCCCCGUGGACAACACAACCCUAAAGAAAGCUCCAUGUGAGAAGGGCAGGGCAGGACUUGGAGCUGGCCACCCUGUAGCUCCUCCAGACUACUUCUGGGAAGAACUGGUCUCACACAUGACCCUGAGAAUCUUCUGCUGAGCAUCUUCUAAAUUCAGGUUUCCCUGGGGCAGAAAGGAACCAUGGGGUAAUGCCCCUGGCUUUAAUAUUUCAUCUCCAGUCUUGUAAAUGAGUUUCCUGGGGCCAUCUGCUUCUGAGAAUUUGCUUCUCUGGCUCAGGGGCCCACAUGCCAUUGCACAAACUCAGGCCAGCACUGCCAGCUCACAAAUACCAUAUAAUAAUAGUUCUCAAACUUGAGGGUGCAUCAGAGUUACCUGGUUAAAUUUCAGAUUUCUGGGCCCCACCUCAGAGGUUCAGUAGGUCUGGACUGGGGCCAAGGAUUUGUAUCUCUAACAAGUUCCCAGGUGGUGUUGAUGCUGCUUCUCUGGGACCACCCCUUUUGAAAACUAUCCCCACAGAUAUUUUCGAGGCAAUAUGAUUGCAUAAUGGUUUAUGUUUUUGUGUUGCAGGAUCAAGCUGCCACCUUGGGACGACCAUUUUUCCUUUUCAGGGUAUAACAUGUUUCCUCAUCUCUGUUUUCUGACUGAUUCACUGCAACCAUCCCAAUUAUGAAGUCACUGCAGAAUGGGCAGAAUUGUUCACUGCCCGGUGAACAAUUGUGGGGACUCUCACCCUUCACUGGCAUGUCUCAAAGUCAAAAUCUCUUCCUCCAAGCUUGUAAAGGAAAGGUCCAACAUGACAGAGGCUGAGUGCAGCAGAGUUGGGGGGAAAGGAGUCUUACUGAUGGACAGACAUGGAGGCAGACCAGGGUCUGAGUUUGUGUUUCAGAACAGCAGUCCCCAACCUUUUGGACCAGUUUCAAGGAAGAUAAUUUUUCUGCAGACCAGGGUUGGGGGAUGGUUUGGGGGUUAUUUAAGUGCAUUGCAUCUCCACCUGGGAUCAUCAGGCAUUAGAUUCUCAUAAGGAGCGUGCAACCUAGAUCCGUCCCAUCCACAGUUUAUAGUAGCAUUCAUGUGCCUAUGAGAAGUUAAGGCUGCCACUGAUGCACUGAUCUGACAGGAGGCGGAACUCAGGUAGAGGUGUGAGUGAUGGGGAGUGGCUGUAAAUACAGAUAAAGCUUCACUCUUCUGCUGCUCACCUUUUGCUGUGUAACCUGGUUCCUAACGGGCCAUGGACCUGUGCCAGUCCAUGGCCAGGGGGCUGGAGACUGCAGUUUUAGAGCAGUAACAUAUAGGCCACAUGGCUCCCAAACACACUGGCAGGAGCAGUCUAGGCACCACCCUCCCACCUUCCUAGGUAACACAGAGAUCGCAAGGGUCACAGAGCCAGAAGUCGUCUUUUAGUGUUUGCUCUGCCAUUCCCUAGCUGUGCUCAACCCCUGAGAGCCUCAGUGUUUGUGUAGAAAACUGAGUAAAUCAGACUGGAUCUGUGCCCCCAAAUUGCAUUCUGUAAAUCACUGGUGCUAACAGGUACUCCAUAAAAUCAGAUAAGAUUGGAAAUCCCUGCACCCAUCACAGGCUCUAGAAGUCCUGUGGAAACAACCUUGUUCCACUCACCUUAAUCAUUUGUUUCCUAAACUUAUUUGACAAUGGAGACUCUUCAUAUACCUUCCCCACUUCUAUCACAUUACCCCUGUUUAGUCUGCAUGACCUGUUACUCUCUGGAAAGUACUUUGAGAAGCAGUAGGUCCUUAUGGUGUCUCCAGGCUGAACAUCCUGACAGGUGGUCUGUGGGUCUUCUCAUCACACCAGCACAGGCUAAGGGGUAGAGGGCAUGGGGCGGGGGGUAGAUGAUGUUGGAUCCCAGGAGUAGCAGGAGUCCUAGAGCACUUCCCCAGAGCACCUAUGGACUAGCACUAGCAUAGGGCAAGGCUCACCAAGUGGGUCCCAAGGAGGAGGAGCGAAAUCCUGGUUAAAGAAAGAGGCCUUAGCACUCAAUACAUACAGGAACUGGACUAAGAUACAGGCCCCAGACAGUUGCGUCUCAGUAUCUGUAAGCCACUGCUUUUUUUUUUUUCAGCCAAGGAAUGGAAGAAACAUUGAGGACACAGCUCAGUAGAUAGUCCAAGCAUCACAGAGACCCCCACUCCUGUAUGGCAGAAGCAGGAUGUCCUGGGCAACACUGCAGCCUUCACUUCUGUGACUUCUCUCCUGGCCCCUCUGACAAGGAAAACCCAGCACUAAUUCAAUAGCACAGGAAAGCCAGAUCUGAUGAGGCCAUUCAGUGAUUGUUUUGAACAAAAAUGUCAAAUUUCCUUCUGCAAACAAUAAAGAUCUUGCUCUGUGUUCACUAGAAUAUUUAGUUGUAUAAAAAUAAAGUAGCACCGUGUGAUACUGUGAAAUAUACAGAAGUAUUUGGGCCUCCUCUGAUUUCCGGGCAUAUCUUCAAAGUGAUAAGCAUCUUUUGUAUGCUAAUGAGUUGACUGGUGACUGGCAGCACC
Nycticebus coucang (slow loris) is the source of this 2748-nucleotide long non-coding RNA. RefSeq lists it as uncharacterized. The record is from RefSeq and is a predicted model, not a curated record. NCBI's taxonomy places the organism in Eukaryota, Metazoa, Chordata, Mammalia, Primates, Lorisidae. The transcript has 3 exons.